Taeniopygia guttata (zebra finch) is the source of this 1634-nucleotide long non-coding RNA. Lineage: Eukaryota; Metazoa; Chordata; Aves; Passeriformes; Estrildidae. The record is from Ensembl.
AUCCCCCCAAAACCCCCAAAAUCCCCCCAAAAUCCCUCAAAAUCCUCCCGAAAUCCCUCCAAAAUCCUCCCAGACUCCCAAAAAUCUCCAAAAUCCUCCCCAAAAUCCUCCGAAAAUUCCCCAAAAAUCCCCAAAUUCCCCCCAAAUCCUCCAAAACCCUCCCGAACCCCCCCGUAAUUCUCCCACAAUUCCCCCAAAAUCCCCCCCAAAGUUCCCCAAAUCCCCCCAAAUUCUCUCAAAAUCCUCCCAAAAUCCCUCAAAAACCCCCAAAAUCCCCGAAAACCCUCCCAACCCCCCCCCGUAAUUCUCCCAAAACACUCCGAAAUUCCUCCCAAAUCCCCCAAAAUCUUCCAAAAACCCCCAAAUUCCUCCCAAAACCCCCCCAAAACCCCCCAUAAUUCUCCCAAAUUCCCCCCAAAAUCCCCUGAAAUCCUCCCCAAAUCCCCCCAAAACCCCCCCAAAGUUCCCCAAAUCCCCCCCAAAUCCCCCGAAAUCCCCACAAACUUCCCCUAAAUCCCCACAAAUCGACCACAACCCCCCCAAAUCCCCCCAAACUCCCAAAAAUCUCCCAAAAUUCCCCUCAAAUUGCCCCAAAAUCCCCCAAAUCCCCCUCAAAACCCCCAUAACUCCCCCAAAUCCCCCCAAAUCCCCCCCAAAAAUCUCCAAAUUCCCCCCAAAAUCCCCCAAAACCCUCCCGAAACCCCCCGUAAUUCUCCCAAAAUUCCCCCCAAAUCCCCCCCAAAUUCCCCAAAUCCCCCCCAACUCUCGGCCCCUCCCCCGCAGCCGCUGCCGCCCCUCCCCCCCCCGGGCCCGCCCCUCCCCCCCCCCGGGGCCCCCCCCCCCCCCCCCCGGGGCGCUGGGGCAGCUCCGGGGUUACCUGGGCCAGGUGGGCUCGGCCGCCGGGAACCUCCUGGGGGGGCUGGACCUGCCCUCGGCGCCGCAGCGCAUCCGGACGGCGUACGAGCAGAGCGUGACGGCCGCGGUCACCUACAGCGGGAUCCUGACGGACCAACUCUACCACUGGUGGCAGGGGGAGCAGUGACCCCAAAAAUGACCCAAAAUCACCCCAAAAAUGACCCCAAAAAUGACCCCAAAAAUGACCCCGAAAUUUGGGGGAACCCAAAAUUUGGGGAAAUCCAAAAUAAAGGCUCUGGAAUGGAAAAAAAUGGGAAAAAAUGGGUGGAAAAUGAAAAAAAAAUGGGUGGAAAAUGAAAAAAUUGGGGAGGGGGGAAAUGAAAAAAAAAUGGGGGAAAAAGGAAAAAAUGGGUGGAAAAUGGAAAAAAUGGGUGAAAAAGACCAAAAAAUGGGGGUGAAAAACAGCAAAAAAAUGGGGGUGAAAAAUGAAAAAUAAUGAUGAAAAGUAGCCCAAAAAUGGAGGGGGAAAAAGGGAAAAAUGGGGGUGGAAAAUGAAAAAAAAUGGGUGGAAAAAUGAAAAAAACGGGUGGAAAAUGAAAAAAACAGGGUAAAAAAAUGAAAAAAAUGGGGUGAAAAAGGAAAAAAAAAUGAGGAAAAUGAGCUCAAAAAUGGAGGUGAAAAAAGGGGGAAAUGGGUUUGAGAAAUGGAAAAAAAUGGGGUGGAAAAUGAAAAAAUGGGGUGAAAAAGGAAAAAAAUGGGUGGAAAAUUAAAAAAAUGGG